This 77-nucleotide transfer RNA is filed under the name Candidatus Magasanikiibacteriota bacterium. RNAcentral's name for it is "tRNA-Pro". It matches the Rfam family "tRNA". From Rfam's summary of the family: Transfer RNA (tRNA) molecules are approximately 80 nucleotides in length. Their secondary structure includes four short double-helical elements and three loops (D, anti-codon, and T loops). Further hydrogen bonds mediate the characteristic L-shaped molecular structure. tRNAs have two regions of fundamental functional importance: the anti-codon, which is responsible for specific mRNA codon recognition, and the 3' end, to which the tRNAs corresponding amino acid is attached (by aminoacyl-tRNA synthetases). tRNAs cope with the degeneracy of the genetic code in two manners: having more than one tRNA (with a specific anti-codon) for a particular amino acid; and 'wobble' base-pairing, i.e. permitting non-standard base-pairing at the 3rd anti-codon position. Lineage: Bacteria; Candidatus Magasanikiibacteriota. The record is from RNAcentral.
CGGGCUGUAGCUCAGUUGGCUAGAGCGCCUGGUUUGGGACCAUGAGGCCGUGGGUUCAAGUCCCACCAGCCCGACAA